This 308-nucleotide ribosomal RNA is filed under the name Clostridioides difficile. RNAcentral describes it as "partial 23S ribosomal RNA". It matches the Rfam family "Bacterial large subunit ribosomal RNA", at positions 1 to 309 of the family's 2925-position model. The record is from RNAcentral. Lineage: Bacteria; Bacillati; Bacillota; Clostridia; Peptostreptococcales; Peptostreptococcaceae.
GGUCAAGUUAUUAAGGGUGCAGGGCGGAUGCCUUGGCACUAGGAGCCGAUGAAGGACGUGAUAAGCUGCGAUAAGCUUCGGGGAGUUGCACGUAAACUUUGAUCCGAAGAUUUCCGAAUGAGGAAACUCACUUAGAGUAAUGUCUAAGUAUCAUUAAGUGAAUACAUAGCUUAAUGAGGGGAACUCAGGGAACUGAAACAUCUAAGUACCUGAAGGAAGAGAAAGAAAUUCGAUUCCGUAAGUAGCGGCGAGCGAACGCGGAUUAGCCCAAACCAAUAAAGUUUUCUUUAUUGGGGUUGCGGACAUAU